This is a long non-coding RNA of Macadamia integrifolia, 1278 nucleotides long. RefSeq lists it as uncharacterized. NCBI's taxonomy places the organism in Eukaryota, Viridiplantae, Streptophyta, Magnoliopsida, Proteales, Proteaceae. The transcript has 6 exons. The record is from RefSeq and is a predicted model, not a curated record.
CCUAAAAAAUCGAAUAGGGAAACAAAACCCCCAUUUCAUUCCUGCAAAAACUGAAACUCUCUCCCAUGACACCGAUUCUAAUCUCCUCUAAUGUCUCUGGUUUUCAAUAACUCCUCUGUUAUCCAUCUUGCUUUCAAUCUCUCUCUGAUAUAGGAAUUAGUGCGUCUUUACACCUUUGACUCUUCAAUUCGAAAAUGGCUGCUUCUACCUUUAACCCUUCUUUCUGCAACUCACGGACUGACCUUAACGACGAAGGUUUUGCGCGUCGAUUGUUGUCUCGGCAGAGCUUUGGUGUUUGGGAGAGUAUUGUAUAAGAACAGAAAUGGAUUGUUGGGUCCAAAGCGAUUCGAAUUGAGCUGUUCUAGAGAGAGAGAGAGAGAGAGAGAGAGAGAGAGAGAGAUGGAUGUCAACGCCUCUGCUGUGGUUGAAGGGGUUGCUGAAUGCUUUGAUGAUGGUAAAUGAAGCAGCCCGGUAUUUCAACUCUCUUGAUGAAUAUUACUCAGAAUGAAUUCGAUCCUUUUGUUGCGGUCAGUAGUCCUCUUUACCAGACGGCUACAUUUAAGCAGGUAUUUGGUACUUCUAAUGUUCAAAAUGAGUCAGCAUUACAAGAAGAACAAGAGAAAGCUUGGGUUGAAUUUGCCAUUCCCAUUAAACAAUGGAACUGCUUAUCCCAUCUCAGCAAACACCACGGAACCCACACCUCGUUUUUCAGGCAGGAUUAUUGCCACGCCCCUUAUUAGGGCCUACUAGGAUGGUACCAGUGCGGUAAACAGAAUUGAAGCUGAGUUCCAAAGAUUUGGUGAAGUAAUUUCUCAAAUUGCUUAUCUAACUGGAGUUUUUGUUCCAUCCGAUGCAAUACCCUAUUGUGAAUGGUUGGAUUUGGGAGGAUAUGUGAAUGCCAUGAAGUCUGCUGCUAAGUAGACUCUCUAAUUGGAAAUUGGUUGGAUGAACAUCGGACAGUCGAGAUGACAUUGGCACAAUCCUUGAUGCCAUGUCAGUCAUUGAAUCCUCGUUGUUCCACAACAUUCGUCACAGAGGAUUUUUUUUGGAUAAGACACCAAGGUCUCUGGACGAAAAUGAGUUCGACUUCAUUGAUGUGAUGCUAUCCAUCAUACUUGAGGACAAUUUGAUAUUUAGUUAUGAUCGUAAUACUGUGAUCAAAGCAGCUGUACUGGUAUGUGUAUAUGUACCUUUCAAUUUGUUCUCAAAUUUUAUAAAUGUUGUUAAAGCAUUUGACCUUUAUAAUCCUCCAAUAUUGAUUUUUUUUUCUUGCUUGCU